This 252-nucleotide ribosomal RNA is filed under the name uncultured bacterium. Its description in RNAcentral is "partial 16S ribosomal RNA". It matches the Rfam family "Bacterial small subunit ribosomal RNA", at positions 525 to 776 of the family's 1533-position model. The record is from RNAcentral.
ACGUAGGGUGCGAGCGUUGUCCGGAUUUAUUGGGCGUAAAGGGCUCGUAGGUGGUUGAUCGCGUCGGAAGUGUAAUCUUGGGGCUUAACCCUGAGCGUGCUUUCGAUACGGGUUGACUUGAGGAAGGUAGGGGAGAAUGGAAUUCCUGGUGGAGCGGUGGAAUGCGCAGAUAUCAGGAGGAACACCAGUGGCGAAGGCGGUUCUCUGGGCCUUUCCUGACGCUGAGGAGCGAAAGCGUGGGGAGCGAACAGG